GUGACAGCUGAGAAAGGUGGGGCGUGAAAACUAACCAGCCAGUGUUAACUGAUUGAUAGACCACAGGUGCCUUGACCUUAUUACCUGUAAGGCGGGGCUGACAGAAGCUAGAUGUCCUUGAAGUGGGUUGGGGGGGGGGGCGGCGCGGCGGCGGCAAGUCACCUACAAGUACAUUUACAUAGUAAGUUUGGUCUAGUCACUUAGUGCAGUCUGACAGUAGUGGUGGCAGUAACUCAGUUUUUAAAAAAAAAGCCACAUGUAUUAAUUCCAGGUGAUUUAAAACUGAAUAACAAAAAACUUUUCAAAGAAAAUAAUUAUAUAUAUUACCUCAGGAAUAGAGAAAGAGUUUUAAAUUUUAUUUUUUUAAUUAUUAUUAUUUUUGGCUGUGCCGCACCUCUUGGGGGAUCUCAGUUCCCAGACCAGGGACUGAACCCAGGCCACAGCAGUGAAAGUGCCAAAUCCUAACCCCUAGACCAUCAGGGAGCUCCCUAGAGAAAGAUUUUUAAGUGAGACACAGCACAAACCUUAAAAGGUUGAUGAGUCAAAAGUUUGUUUGUCCAAAGAUAACACAAAAGAGAGUAAAGUCACAGCCUAGGAACAGAAACACGUAUCUGACAAAGGAUUAGUAACCAGAAUAUAUGAAGAAUCCCUAUUAGUUAAAAUAGGUAAUUACAAACAAAGGGUAUUAAUAAGCAAUAAACUAAAGCCAGUAAAUGCGUAUUUCAGCAAUGAGGUACCUUUUUACGUUCGUGUCAUAAACUGGCGAACAAUGGUCUGGCCACACCACAUGUUGGCAAGGAACUUGGACUACUGAUGGUAGAAUUAGCUGGUAAAAUCACUUUUUUGGAAAGCAAUUGCCUCAUGACCUAGUACUAAAUUCCACUAAAGUGUAUUUACUAGAAAACCCCUCACAGGUGCAUAAGGGGUUGUACAGUAGAGUAUCUGUAAUUGAGAAAAAACUGGUAACGACCUAAAUAUCUUUAACAACAGGAUAAAUUAUAUGCACAGAUGGAUGUGAAAGUGAAUAAAAUAGAGCUCUGCAUACCAAUAUGCAUUAUAUAGUGGAAAUAAAAUAGGGGAAAAAGGUAAUUGUGUGAUACUGCACACACUUAAAAAUAUACAGAGCUCUUGUUUAUGGACGCGUGCACAUACAAUAAAAGUAGAAAGCGCUGUAUAAGAAUGAUAAACACCAAAUUCACAGUAUUCACCUCCUCCAUAAGAAACAGAAUGACUGGGGAAGGAUAGAACAGGUGCCUACAACCAUGCUGAUGAUGGCUUAUUUCUUCAGCUGAAUGUACAUUAGUUAUAAAAUGAACUGAAUAUGUUUUUUCUAAUGUGCCUGAAAUAUUUCAUUUAAAAAUUACAGUAAAAUGAAGUAAGUAAAUACUUGAAAGCAAAUAUUUAUUAACUUUUUUGGAACAAUUCCUAACAGUUCAGCAUGU
This 1442-nucleotide transfer RNA is filed under the name Phocoena sinus (vaquita). RNAcentral describes it as "lncRNA (ENSPSNG00000006008.1)". Lineage: Eukaryota; Metazoa; Chordata; Mammalia; Artiodactyla; Phocoenidae. The record is from RNAcentral.